Molecule: non-coding RNA, 88 nt
Organism: Mycena rebaudengoi
Lineage: Eukaryota; Fungi; Basidiomycota; Agaricomycetes; Agaricales; Mycenaceae
Source: the annotation of a GenBank genome assembly
UCGGAUGUGGUGCACGGUGCAUAUCAGCUCAUUGGGCUUUCAAACGAUUGUCAGGUUAAGGACCGGGGUUCGACUCCCCGCAUCCGAA